This 2049-nucleotide long non-coding RNA is filed under the name Marmota monax (woodchuck). The record is from RNAcentral. Lineage: Eukaryota; Metazoa; Chordata; Mammalia; Rodentia; Sciuridae.
GGGACAAAUUAGACUAUUUCAUAGUGUUUGACCCAGGUCUUCAUAGGAAUUUCCAAGUAGUGGCUACAAUUUCUAGUCAGCAUUGAGAGUUGAAUUAACUUUAGUUGCCCUGAAGUGCACCAUGUAGCCACACUGCCUAGCUAGUUGGGCUAGGGUUAAAUUAACUCUGUUGCGGUUUGCUGUAAAAUGCCUUGUAGAAUAGAGUAUUUAGGGGGUUUGGAAUCAUGGUUGAAGUCUUCUGUGUUACCUUGCUAGGAAUUAGCUUGAGUCACUAAGAGUACUGUCUUGUUCAGUCCAACAACUUGACAGAUACAUAAUGUCCCAUUUACAUGUAAGAAAGUUAAGUAGUUUAUGAAUACCUUUUUUUGGGGGGGAGGUGAAUCUACAUACUUCUGGCAUCAGCUGAAAGUGAACAUAGGUAGAAAAUGGUGAAGCACAGUUCUCCCAGUGGGAAGAAUUUAAAAGGUAGGAUCUGUUUUGCAAAAAUGAUUUGAGGUGAAGCUUUAUACUGAUUCUUAGGCACUGGCUAAUGGUUUGGCCAACAAACAGGUCAGAAUUUCAAGAACAAGAAGGAAAAACAAGGCUAAUUCAAGGUUCUAAAUAGAACUAUGGACAUUGCUCUCAUUGAUGAACUAAUUCAUUCUGAGAACAUCAGCUAUUUUCCCCAGCCACCAACUUGUUGCUUGUUCAAAAAGCCCAUGAACAAAACAGUCAUGAUAGCAAGAAAUGGAACCUGUGUAUGAGCUCUAAAACAUGGACCUCUCCUCACAAAGGCAGAGCUGCUAUACCAUUCACAAAGGGUACCAUCUAGCCAAGUUAUUACUUUGGACAUCUCCCAUCAUUGCAAAGAGCAACAGUAUGUUAAGGACAGGCAUUGAGCUGGGCAGGUAGCUCAGCGGGAUAGUACCUGCUUAGCAUGUGCAAGGUCCAAGGUUCAAUCAGCACUACCUACCCACUGAAGUAAAUAAUCUGUGUAUGAGCUGUACACGUAUGGAUUUGUCUUUCAUACAUACAAUAUAUCUGCAGGUGCUUUAUCUGUCAUUGUGGUAUCCUUUGCAGUAUAGUCUGACAGUAUGGAAUAAAGAAAGUCAUUUGGUUACAAGAGACAGCAUGCUUUAAGAUAUUGGCUUGCUCUGAAAACUUGGGUAUACACUACCUGGAGUAAAUUUACUGAGCAUAAGGUAACUGUCCUACAAAAUGUCUGUAAUUCAGUUUAUCAGUAUAUGGUGCCAUCUUCCCAAUAGCCAGGAUGGAUGUAUAAAGAAAUAAGAUGGGAUAUGAGACUGAGGAUUAGGCCAGUUGUCUCUCUGAAGGCAUUUUUUGUUUUCUAUUUAGCUUGCAACCUUGAAUUUAAUGAGCUCAGAGGUUCUGGUACUUACUGCCUAUUUUUUUCUUAGGACCGUAUUUUUGACUGGAUUUAAAAAGUCAAUAUGUUGAUUAUUUUGGGCUUUGUAUACCACUGAACAGGCAGGAAAGGUGGUCUUCUAACAUUGUCUUUUGGCAGGGGGUAGGGAGGGUACUAGGGAUUGAACUCUGGGGCACUAGACCACUGACAUCCCCAGCCCUAUUUUGUAUUUUAUUUAGAGACAGGGUCUCACUGGAUUGCUUAGCACCUUGCUUUUUGCUGCGACUGGCUUUGAACAUUUGCUGGGAUUAUAGGAAUGUGCCACCACACCCAGCUAGAUUUUCUUUACAACAGUUUUGUGGUAGAUUUCUAGGAGAUUUCUCUCCUAUAUAUGAUCUAUAAGGAUGGACUCCCUUGUCCUUGCAUUCUAGGUAGGUUCAAAAAGUGGGAAGUACCAGCAGAAUAUCCAAAAGUGGAGUCAUAAUUAUUUUUCCUGCUUCUCCUUGCUUUAAAGCGACUUCUAGGUUGGAUAUAGCUCAGUUGGUACAGUGCUUGCCUCACAUACACAAGGCUUGGGUUCAAUCCCUAGUACCACCCCCCCCCAAAAAAAAAAAAAUUUCUAUUAAAGGCCAUAAUUCCCAUUAGGUGGUCUUUGCUCUAUUACAACAACUACUGAGAUUUAUUCCUUUAGGCCUCAGUGUGUU